GCCCUGCUGGCUCAAUGGUAGAGCAUCAGACUUCUAAGACUCCGCGUAACGGUCUCACCAACGCUACCGUCUAGCAAUCUGAAGGUUGUGGGUUCGAGUCCCACGUAGGGUG
RNAcentral lists this transfer RNA (112 nucleotides) under Hypoxylon rubiginosum. Its description in RNAcentral is "tRNA-Arg". It matches the Rfam family "tRNA". From Rfam's summary of the family: Transfer RNA (tRNA) molecules are approximately 80 nucleotides in length. Their secondary structure includes four short double-helical elements and three loops (D, anti-codon, and T loops). Lineage: Eukaryota; Fungi; Ascomycota; Sordariomycetes; Xylariales; Hypoxylaceae. The record is from RNAcentral.